RNAcentral lists this ribosomal RNA (731 nucleotides) under Bacillus amyloliquefaciens. RNAcentral describes it as "bacterial SSU rRNA". It matches the Rfam family "Bacterial small subunit ribosomal RNA", at positions 56 to 769 of the family's 1533-position model. The record is from RNAcentral. Lineage: Bacteria; Bacillati; Bacillota; Bacilli; Caryophanales; Bacillaceae.
UGCAAGUCGAGCGGACAGAUGGGAGCUUGCUCCCUGAUGUUAGCGGCGGACGGGUGAGUAACACGUGGGUAACCUGCCUGUAAGACUGGGAUAACUCCGGGAAACCGGGGCUAAUACCGGAUGGUUGUUUGAACCGCAUGGUUCAGACAUAAAAGGUGGCUUCGGCUACCACUUACAGAUGGACCCGCGGCGCAUUAGCUAGUUGGUGAGGUAACGGCUCACCAAGGCGACGAUGCGUAGCCGACCUGAGAGGGUGAUCGGCCACACUGGGACUGAGACACGGCCCAGACUCCUACGGGAGGCAGCAGUAGGGAAUCUUCCGCAAUGGACGAAAGUCUGACGGAGCAACGCCGCGUGAGUGAUGAAGGUUUUCGGAUCGUAAAGCUCUGUUGUUAGGGAAGAACAAGUGCCGUUCAAAUAGGGCGGCACCUUGACGGUACCUAACCAGAAAGCCACGGCUAACUACGUGCCAGCAGCCGCGGUAAUACGUAGGUGGCAAGCGUUGUCCGGAAUUAUUGGGCGUAAAGGGCUCGCAGGCGGUUUCUUAAGUCUGAUGUGAAAGCCCCCGGCUCAACCGGGGAGGGUCAUUGGAAACUGGGGAACUUGAGUGCAGAAGAGGAGAGUGGAAUUCCACGUGUAGCGGUGAAAUGCGUAGAGAUGUGGAGGAACACCAGUGGCGAAGGCGACUCUCUGGUCUGUAACUGACGCUGAGGAGCGAAAGCGUGGGGAGC